CCUACGGGUGGCAGCAGUCGAGAAUCAUUCACAAUGGGGGAAACCCUGAUGGUGCGACGCCGCGUGGGGGAAUGAAGGUCUUCGGAUUGUAAACCCCUGUCAUGUGGGAGCAAAUUAAAAAGAUAGUACCACAAGAGGAAGAGACGGCUAACUCUGUGCCAGCAGCCGCGGUAAUACAGAGGUCUCAAGCGUUGUUCGGAAUCACUGGGCGUAAAGCGUGCGUAGGCUGUUUCGUAAGUCGGGUGUGAAAGGCGAGGGCUCAACCCGCGGACGGCACAUGAUACUGCGAGACUAGAGUAAUGGAGGGGGAGCCGGAAUUCUCGGUGUAGCAGUGAAAUGCGUAGAUAUCGAGAGGAACACUCGUGGCGAAGGCGAGUUCCUGGACAUUAACUGACGCUGAGGCACGAAGGCCAGGGGAGCGAAAGGGAUUAGAUACCCGGGUAGUC
RNAcentral lists this ribosomal RNA (446 nucleotides) under uncultured bacterium. Its description in RNAcentral is "partial 16S ribosomal RNA". It matches the Rfam family "Bacterial small subunit ribosomal RNA", at positions 338 to 795 of the family's 1533-position model. The record is from RNAcentral.